Molecule: long non-coding RNA, 385 nt
Filed under: Mus pahari (shrew mouse)
Lineage: Eukaryota; Metazoa; Chordata; Mammalia; Rodentia; Muridae
Description: predicted gene 12068 (MGP_PahariEiJ_G0004437.1)
Source: RNAcentral
GGACAUUGCUCAAGGACCAUGCAUAUUUGAAUGCUUUAUACAGUAAAGAAGCAAACAUGGGAUUCAACACAUUUCCUUGAUAAAACAGCUUGACAAACAAGUUAAGGACUAUGAAGACUCAUACUGCUAAGUGUUCAAAGUUUAUGAAUGAAGAGACUGUUGGGCUGGGGUCCAGAAAGGCCAAAUGUCCUGCUCGUAACACAGCUACAUGGGGGACAGAACUACGUGACUCAUGGUCUCCAGCUUCCCAGAUUCCUGAGAGAACACUUAAGCAGUUUAAGCAAUGAUGACCAGAGAAGGUGGAUAGAGAUGGAGGACAUGCAUAUAGACUGGAUGCUCAGCUGAAGAGAAACUGGCCAGGAAUAGCUCCUGACCAUCUGGAAGG